GAUGUCAGAAGAGAGCCAUAGAGAAAAGGAAACUGGAAGAGGCCAUAUGUGCCCUGUGCACGUCCCGACCCUGAAGGCUACGGCAGGCAGAGCCAAAGAGCCAUCGGGCCACCAGGGUCUCUGUGCCUGAUGGUGCUCCCUGGCCACAGGAGACUGCUCAGGGGGCCCACAGGGUUGGCUGUCGAAGAUGUUGGAACAAGUCUCCACCAAUGGGAGAGGGGAAUUGGUGGACAAACGUUCCAGGUCCUCAUCCCUGGAAGGACUCUGCAGAACUGUGAUCCACAGGCUCUCAGAGAACAGUCUCGGAACCGCACACCUGUCUGCAGCCUCAGUCGACACCCCGAGAAAGCUCCCUUCUUCGCUGUGUUCCCUUUCUCAUCUUCUCAUCCCGCUACCCACUCGCUCACCGUGCUUUCUGGGGCCACCUUCCGAGGAAAUUAGUCACCCACAAACCUCUGUCUAAGAUGCAAUCCAGAAUAAACAUCUCCUGGGUUCCCCGAGGCUGGGGCAGACAAAUGGCUUCCAGGACCCUCAGUGGAACCUUCCAUGCCAAGUGGGUUUCUCUCGCAGUUCCAGCCCAUCUGGGACAUGUAAAGUUCAGUAAAAGCCUGUGGGACACCAGUGCCUCUGCAGAGUACAUUUGGGGAAAUUGAAACAAAGAGGCCAACGUUCCCCUAGAGAAGAGACUCGCUGACGGAGCGAUUUCAGAGGACGCAGCCAUGGGAGGAGGUGGUGAGAGAAGGAACAACAGCCUCCAGGAUGCCCCAAGAUAUACAGGAAGAAGCUGUGCUCUCGGUGCUUUUGUGACAUUUCCACCCACCUGACUGGAAAGGGAGCAGGAGUUACCUUUACAUUGAGGGGCUGCAGGAGACCAGCCUGAAGAACUGCAAGAGAGUCGAGCUUCACCAACCAGAGUGUAUCCUUUGUCACAUUUAUAUAUCACCUCCGUACGAGCAAAUACACUGAAAGCUUGAGUUC
Neofelis nebulosa (Clouded leopard) is the source of this 978-nucleotide long non-coding RNA. RefSeq lists it as uncharacterized. The record is from RefSeq and is a predicted model, not a curated record. NCBI's taxonomy places the organism in Eukaryota, Metazoa, Chordata, Mammalia, Carnivora, Felidae. The transcript has 2 exons.